Molecule: ribosomal RNA, 441 nt
Filed under: uncultured bacterium
Lineage: Bacteria
Description: partial 16S ribosomal RNA
Rfam family: Bacterial small subunit ribosomal RNA
Source: RNAcentral
UCUACGGGAGGCAGCAGUAGGGAAUUUUGCGCAAUGGGCGAAAGCCUGAAGCAGCAACGCCGCGUGCACGAUUACGCCCCUCGGGGUUUAAAAUUCUGUCAGUAGGGACGUAAAUUGACGGUACCUACAGUGGCAGCACCUGCUAACUCCGUACCAGCAGCCGCGGUCAUACGGAGGGUUCAAGCGUUUUCCGGAAUCAUUGGGGGUAAAGGGUGCGUAGGUGGCAGAGUAAGUCUGGUGUUAACUGCAGAGGCUCAACUUCUGUCCGGCACUGGAGAUUGGUAAGUUUGAAUGCUGUUGUGGUAGAGGGAAUGCAUGGUGUAGCGGGGAAAUGCGUAGAUAUCAGGCAGAACAUCGAUGGCGAAGGCGGUUUACUGAGCCAUAAUUGACGCUGAGGAACGAAAGCCGGGGUAGCAAAUGGGAUUAGAUACCCGAGUAGUC